RNAcentral lists this ribosomal RNA (425 nucleotides) under uncultured bacterium. RNAcentral's name for it is "bacterial SSU rRNA". It matches the Rfam family "Bacterial small subunit ribosomal RNA", at positions 355 to 775 of the family's 1533-position model. The record is from RNAcentral.
UCGGGAAUUUUGGGCAAUGGGCGAAAGCCUGACCCAGCAACGCCGCGUGAAGGAUGAAAUCCCUCGGGAUGUAAACUUCGUAAGAACAGGAAGAAUAAGGAAGGGUUAAUACUCCUUCUGAUGACGGUACUGUUUGUAAGCUCCGGCUAACUCCGUGCCAGCAGCCGCGGUAAUACGGGGGGAGCAAGCGUUGUUCGGAUUUACUGGGCGUAAAGGGCGCGUAGGCGGCGUGACAAGUCACUUGUGAAAUCUCCGGGCUUAACUCGGAACGGUCAAGUGAUACUGUCGUGCUAGAGUACAGAAGGGGCAACUGGAAUUCUCGGUGUAGCGGUGAAAUGCGUAGAUAUCGAGAGGAACACCUGCGGCGAAGGCGGGUUGCUGGGCUGAUACUGACGCUGAGGCGCGAAAGCCAGGGGAGCGAACGG